GACGAACGCUGGCGGCGUGCUUAACACAUGCAAGUCGAACGGAAAGGCCCUGCUUGCAGGGUACUCGAGUGGCGAACGGGUGAGUAACACUUGGGGGAUCUGCCCUGCACUUCGGGUUAAGCUUGGGAAACUGGGUCUAAUACCGGAUAGGAACCAUCUUUAGUGUGGGGGUUGGAAGGUUUUUUCGGUGUAGGAUGAGCUCGCGGCCUAUCAGCUUGUUGGUGGGGUAAUGGCCUACCAAGGCGGCGACGGGUAGCCGGCCUGAGAGGGUGUACGGCCACAUUGGGACUGAGAUACGGCCCAGACUCCUACGGGAGGCAGCAGUGGGGAAUAUUGCACAAUGGGCGCAAGCCUGAUGCAGCGACGCCGCGUGGGGGAUGAAGGCCUUCGGGUUGUAAACUCCUUUCGCUAGGGACGAAGCUUUUUGUGACGGUACCUAGAUAAGAAGCACCGGCUAACUACGUG
This 465-nucleotide ribosomal RNA is filed under the name uncultured bacterium. RNAcentral's name for it is "partial 16S ribosomal RNA". It matches the Rfam family "Bacterial small subunit ribosomal RNA", at positions 28 to 507 of the family's 1533-position model. The record is from RNAcentral.